GUUUUGCUUACUACAAGUCCCAGGAUGCAUUGCAGCUUUUGCUUAACUUCAGAUUAAAGCAUUGCAUUCUGGGAUCUGUAGUUGAUUUAAAUAGUA
Molecule: microRNA precursor, 96 nt
Filed under: Dasypus novemcinctus (nine-banded armadillo)
Lineage: Eukaryota; Metazoa; Chordata; Mammalia; Cingulata; Dasypodidae
Description: miRNA (ENSDNOG00000029628.1)
Source: RNAcentral